This is a long non-coding RNA of Myxocyprinus asiaticus (Chinese sucker), 567 nucleotides long. RefSeq lists it as uncharacterized. The record is from RefSeq and is a predicted model, not a curated record. NCBI's taxonomy places the organism in Eukaryota, Metazoa, Chordata, Actinopteri, Cypriniformes, Catostomidae. The transcript has 4 exons.
UGAGACUCCGCCUCCUGCAGCUCUGUCUCUAGUUGUUUCUUGAACGUAAGAGUCUGAGCUCUCUGAGUCUUCUCCUCUUCAAGCAUUACUUCCAGCUCUCGUACCUGAACGAGAUCCAAGAGAUUGACUCUGAGGGCUUGAAGCAUAACCUCCAGUCUCAGACGAGCAUUCUCUGCCUCUGUCAGCUCAUCCUCCAGCUCCUGGGUCUGUUCUUUCAGAGACUGGGCUUCUGUUUCCAAAGCCCGUCGGGAACGCUCAAGCUCAAGAACCUGAGGAGGCUUCCUCUCAGCUCUGUGACGAGUAAGCCGAGGUCAGACAGCUGCUCUUGUGCGUCCACUGCUUCUCCCUCCAUCCGUCUCUUCCACUUCUCCUGCUCCAGACGACCCUGCUCUUCCCUCUUCAGACGCUCUAAUGGAAGAUAAUGCAAUAGUGACUUUCUCCAGCUGGAGGCGCUGGCGUGUCCCCUCCUCCUCUUCGAGCUGCUCUUCCAGAUCCUUGAGAGGAAACACAGAGAUGUUGACAGAAGGCAUUCAUCCUGGACAUGAGACACUCCACACUGACUGAAAC